RNAcentral lists this ribosomal RNA (528 nucleotides) under Salmonella enterica. Its description in RNAcentral is "partial 23S ribosomal RNA". It matches the Rfam family "Bacterial large subunit ribosomal RNA", at positions 1292 to 1803 of the family's 2925-position model. Lineage: Bacteria; Pseudomonadati; Pseudomonadota; Gammaproteobacteria; Enterobacterales; Enterobacteriaceae. The record is from RNAcentral.
GAAUGCUGACAUAAGUAACGAUAAAGCGGGUGAAAAGCCCGCUCGCCGGAAGACCAAGGGUUCCUGUCCAACGUUAAUCGGGGCAGGGUGAGUCGACCCCUAAGGCGAGGCCGAAAGGCGUAGUCGAUGGGAAACGGGUUAAUAUUCCCGUACUUGGUGUUACUGCGAAGGGGGGACGGAGAAGGCUAUGUUGGCCGGGCGACGGUUGUCCCGGUUUAAGCGUGUAGGUGUGUGUUCCAGGUAAAUCCGGUUCACUUUAACACUGAGGCGUGAUGACGAGGCACUACGGUGCUGAAGCAACAAAUGCCCUGCUUCCAGGAAAAGCCUCUAAGCAUCAGGUAACAUCAAAUCGUACCCCAAACCGACACAGGUGGUCAGGUAGAGAAUACCAAGGCGCUUGAGAGAACUCGGGUGAAGGAACUAGGCAAAAUGGUGCCGUAACUUCGGGAGAAGGCACGCUGACACGUAGGUGAAGUGAUUUACUCAUGGAGCUGAAGUCAGUCGAAGAUACCAGCUGGCUGCAACUGU